Molecule: ribosomal RNA, 477 nt
Filed under: uncultured bacterium
Lineage: Bacteria
Description: partial 16S ribosomal RNA
Rfam family: Bacterial small subunit ribosomal RNA
Source: RNAcentral
GAUUAACGCUGGCGGCGUGCAUAACACAUGCCAGUCGAACGAUGAAACUUUAAUGACCCCUUCGGGGAGAAUUAAAGCGGAUUAGUGGCGAACGGGUGAGUAACGCGUGAGUAACCUGCCUUACACAAGGGGAUAGCCUUUGGAAACGAAGAAUAAUACCCUAUAAAACCAUAAAAGCACAUGCAAUUAUGGUCAAAGUGAUAGCGGUGUAAGAUGGACUUGCGUCUGAUUAGCUAGUUGGUGAGAUAAAAGCCCACCAAGGCAACGAUCAGUAGCCGGCUUGAGAGAGUGUACGGCCACAUUGGGACUGAGACACGGCCCAGACUCCUACGGGAGGCAGCAGUGGGGAAUUUUGCACAAUGGGGGAAACCCUGAUGCAGCGACGCCGCGUGAUUUAGAAGGCCUUCGGGUUGUAAAAAUCUUUUGUAUAGGAAGAAAAUGACAGUACUAUACGAAUAAGGUCCGGCUAAUUACGUG